Molecule: non-coding RNA, 130 nt
Organism: Suncus etruscus (white-toothed pygmy shrew)
Lineage: Eukaryota; Metazoa; Chordata; Mammalia; Eulipotyphla; Soricidae
Product: small Cajal body-specific RNA 24
Exons: 1
Source: RefSeq, a predicted model, not a curated record
UGGGCAUUUAUUUGAAAGCAGUUUAUUCUACAGUGAAGAUAACUCUUUGUAAAUGUCCUAGAGAAUUAUAGUAGCUUUCUGUGUACUGCUUGCAAGUAAAAAAACGUGCACUGGUCCACUACUGACAUUU